UACGUAGGGCGCAAGCGUUAUCCGGAAUUAUUGGGCGUAAAGAGCUCGUAGGCGGUUUGUCGCGUCUGCCGUGAAAGUCCGGGGCUCAACUCCGGAUCUGCGGUGGGUACGGGCAGACUAGAGUGCAGUAGGGGAGACCGGAAUUCCUGGUGUAGCGGUGAAAUGCGCAGAUAUCAGGAGGAACACCGGCGGCGAAGGCGGGUCUCUGGGCCGUAACUGACACUGAGGAGCGAAAGCGUGGGGAGCGAACAGG
This 253-nucleotide ribosomal RNA is filed under the name uncultured bacterium. RNAcentral describes it as "partial 16S ribosomal RNA". It matches the Rfam family "Bacterial small subunit ribosomal RNA", at positions 524 to 776 of the family's 1533-position model. The record is from RNAcentral.